GCUGGCGGCAGGCUAACACAUGCAAGUCGAGCGGAGAGAGGUAGCUUGCUACUGAUCUUAGCGGCGGACGGGUGAGUAAUGCUUAGGAAUCUGCCUAUUAGUGGGGGACAACAUUUCGAAAGGAAUGCUAAUACCGCAUACGUCCUACGGGAGAAAGCAGGGGAUCUUCGGACCUUGCGCUAAUAGAUGAGCCUAAGUCGGAUUAGCUAGUUGGUGGGGUAAAGGCCUACCAAGGCGACGAUCUGUAGCGGGUCUGAGAGGAUGAUCCGCCACACUGGGACUGAGACACGGCCCAGACUCCUACGGGAGGCAGCAGUGGGGAAUAUUGGACAAUGGGCGCAAGCCUGAUCCAGCCAUGCCGCGUGUGUGAAGAAGGCCUUAUGGUUGUAAAGCACUUUAAGCGAGGAGGAGGCUACUUUAGUUAAUACCUAGAGAUAGUGGACGUUACUCGCAGAAUAAGCACCGGCUAACUCUGUGCCAGCAGCCGCGGUAAUACAGAGGGUGCAAGCGUUAAUCGGAUUUACUGGGCGUAAAGCGCGCGUAGGCGGCUAAUUAAGUCAAAUGUGAAAUCCCCGAGCUUAACUUGGGAAUUGCAUUCGAUACUUGGUUUAGCUAGAAU
RNAcentral lists this ribosomal RNA (619 nucleotides) under Acinetobacter calcoaceticus. RNAcentral's name for it is "bacterial SSU rRNA". It matches the Rfam family "Bacterial small subunit ribosomal RNA", at positions 35 to 647 of the family's 1533-position model. The record is from RNAcentral. Lineage: Bacteria; Pseudomonadati; Pseudomonadota; Gammaproteobacteria; Moraxellales; Moraxellaceae.